RNAcentral lists this ribosomal RNA (295 nucleotides) under Salmonella enterica subsp. enterica serovar Heidelberg. Its description in RNAcentral is "partial 23S ribosomal RNA". It matches the Rfam family "Bacterial large subunit ribosomal RNA", at positions 1990 to 2284 of the family's 2925-position model. Lineage: Bacteria; Pseudomonadati; Pseudomonadota; Gammaproteobacteria; Enterobacterales; Enterobacteriaceae. The record is from RNAcentral.
GCACGAAAGGCGCAACGAUCUGGGCACUGUCUCAACGAGAGACUCGGUGAAAUUAUAGUACCUGUGAAGAUGCAGGUUACCCGCGACAGGACGGAAAGACCCCGUGGAGCUUUACUGCAACCUGAUAUGGAAUGUUUGUACCGCUUGUACAGGAUAGGUAGGAGCCGAAGAGACGUGUGCGCUAGCAUACGAGGAGGCAAUGGUGGGAUACUACCCUGGCUGUAUGACCAUUCUAACCCGCCACGCUUAGCGCGUGGGGAGACAGUGUCAGGUGGGCAGUUUGACUGGGGCGGUC